UACGGGGGGGGGCAAGCGUUGUUCGGAAUUACUGGGCGUAAAGGGCUCGUAGGCGGCCAACUAAGUCAGACGUGAAAUCCCUCGGCUUAACCGGGGAACUGCGUCUGAUACUGGAUGGCUUGAAUCCGGGAGAGGGAUGCGGAAUUCCAGGUGUAGCGGUGAGAUGCGUAGAUAUCUGGAGGAACACCGGUGGCGAAGGCGGCAUCCUGGACCGGCAUUGACGCUGAGGAGCGAAAGCCAGGGGAGCAAACGGG
Molecule: ribosomal RNA, 254 nt
Filed under: uncultured bacterium
Lineage: Bacteria
Description: partial 16S ribosomal RNA
Rfam family: Bacterial small subunit ribosomal RNA
Source: RNAcentral